This 464-nucleotide ribosomal RNA is filed under the name uncultured bacterium. RNAcentral describes it as "bacterial SSU rRNA". It matches the Rfam family "Bacterial small subunit ribosomal RNA", at positions 339 to 794 of the family's 1533-position model. The record is from RNAcentral.
UUACGGGAGGCAGCAGUGGGGAAUAUUGCGCAAUGGGGGAAACCCUGACGCAGCGACGCCGUGUGAGGGAUGAAGGUCUUCGGAUCGUAAACCUCUGUCAGAAGGGAAGAACCACAUAGAGUUGAAUAAGCUCUGUGUCUGACGGUACCUUCAGAGGAAGCACCGGCUAACUCCGUGCCAGCAGCCGCGGUAAUACGGAGGGUGCAAGCGUUAAUCGGAAUCACUGGGCGUAAAGCGCGCGUAGGCGGCUUGAUAAGUCAGGCGUGAAAUCCCUCGGCUCAACCGGGGAACUGCGUUUGAUACUGUCAGGCUUGAGUGCCGGAGGGGGUGGCGGAAUUCCGGGUGUAGGAGUGAAAUCCGUAGAUAUCCGGAGGAACACCGGUGGCGAAGGCGGCCACCUGGACGGCAACUGACGCUGAGGCGCGAAAGCGUGGGGAGCAAACAGGCUUAGAUACCCUGGUAGU